ACCGCCCAGACUUGAACGCAAAAUGUUCAAAUGCUCACACAAGCAUGCCGGGCCAAUAGGUGGCGAUAAAGUCUACAUUCACGAUCCGUCUCGUAAGAGAAACCCUGUGAAUGCCGGUGCGGUGAUGCUAAAUUUUGCUGCAUUGCUGCCGUUUCUGGUGCAUGCUCACUAAACAAAACAAAAUGGGUGUGCGCCAGGGCAUCGGGCUCAGACAGGCCACAGAUCCGGUGCUCAGGACCAGGCGGACCUGGUUGGUGCAGCAUCGUUCGGACACCUGCAUACACAUGUGAUGCAAUGCAGUGUCAAGAGUUCCACUACGCUGGAAAGGGAGCUUCAUGCGAACAACAAAGCUGAUUUUGAGAGCUGGUUUUCGUAUGACAGAUAGGCAGAGAUGAGCAGACUCAAAAAUGCUGUUUACAUUCCUGCCCUGCUCGCUCCUCCCUGAUCUACAGCAGCGCUCCACCAAACAAACAGACUGACUCCUCACCUCUGACCUCAAACAUCCCUGUCUGGCCAACAAAACAACAACAACCUCUACCAGUAACACUGUUCUCCUGCUAACUCAUUGUUACAUAUUCCAAAACAUCUGUGUUUUUAAAUCAUGUCUUAUUUCAAAAAUCACUAGUCUAGUCACAAAAUAAAAAAACAGUCAUUUUCAUUAUUCAUGAAUCUUCCAAAUAUUUCAUGUUGUAUCAUUUGGUCGAUAAAAUGACAAACACAAAGUU
Long non-coding RNA from Platichthys flesus (European flounder), 725 nucleotides. RefSeq lists it as uncharacterized. The transcript is spliced from 3 exons. The record is from RefSeq and is a predicted model, not a curated record. NCBI's taxonomy places the organism in Eukaryota, Metazoa, Chordata, Actinopteri, Pleuronectiformes, Pleuronectidae.